RNAcentral lists this small nuclear RNA (127 nucleotides) under Catagonus wagneri (Chacoan peccary). RNAcentral's name for it is "U1 spliceosomal RNA (ENSCWAG00000017697.1)". It matches the Rfam family "U1 spliceosomal RNA". From Rfam's summary of the family: U1 is a small nuclear RNA (snRNA) component of the spliceosome (involved in pre-mRNA splicing). Its 5' end forms complementary base pairs with the 5' splice junction, thus defining the 5' donor site of an intron. The record is from RNAcentral. Lineage: Eukaryota; Metazoa; Chordata; Mammalia; Artiodactyla; Tayassuidae.
AUACUUACCUGGCAGGGGAGAUACCAUGAUCACAAAGGUGGUUUUCCCAGAGUGAGGCUUAUCCAUUGUACUCUUUCAUUUUUUAACUCCCUUUCCAAUAUAGAAUACUAAGUAAUUCAUAUUAAAU